AUUGAACGCUGGCGGCAUGCCUUACACAUGCAAGUCGAACGGCAGCGGGUCCUUCGGGAUGCCGGCGAGUGGCGAACGGGUGAGUAAAGCAUCGGAACGUACCGUGUAGUGGGGGAUAACGUAGCGAAAGUUACGCUAAUACCGCAUACGCUGUGAGCAGGAAAGCGGGGGAUCGCAAGACCUCGCGCUAUACGAGCGGCCGAUGUCAGAUUAGCUAGUUGGUGAGGUAAAGGCUCACCAAGGCGACGAUCUGUAGCGGGUCUGAGAGGAUGAUCCGCCACACUGGGACUGAGACACGGCCCAGACUCCUACGGGAGGCAGCAGUGGGGAAUUUUGGACAAUGGGGGCAACCCUGAUCCAGCCAUGCCGCGUGAGUGAAGAAGGCCUUCGGGUUGUAAAGCUCUUUCGGACGGGAAGAAAUCGCACGGGCUAAUACUCUGUGUGGAUGACGGUACCGUAAUAAGAAGCACCGGCUAACUACGUGCCAGCAGCCGCCGUAA
This 500-nucleotide ribosomal RNA is filed under the name uncultured bacterium. RNAcentral describes it as "partial 16S ribosomal RNA". It matches the Rfam family "Bacterial small subunit ribosomal RNA", at positions 29 to 523 of the family's 1533-position model. The record is from RNAcentral.